GCAGCCGCCGCGGGAAUACAGAGGGUGCGAGCGUUAAUCGGAUUUACUGGGCGUAAAGCGUGCGUAGGCGGCUUUUUAAGUCGGAUGUGAAAUCCCUGAGCUUAACUUAGGAAUUGCAUUCGAUACUGGGAAGCUAGAGUAUGGGAGAGGAUGGUAGAAUUCCAGGUGUAGCGGUGAAAUGCGUAGAGAUCUGGAGGAAUACCGAUGGCGAAGGCAGCCAUCUGGCCUAAUACUGACGCUGAGGUACGAAAGCAUGGGGAGCAAACAGGAUUAGAUACCCCGGUAGUCCCUGUCUCUUAUAU
RNAcentral lists this ribosomal RNA (302 nucleotides) under uncultured bacterium. RNAcentral describes it as "partial 16S ribosomal RNA". It matches the Rfam family "Bacterial small subunit ribosomal RNA", at positions 508 to 809 of the family's 1533-position model. The record is from RNAcentral.